AAAGGAAUAGACGGGGGCCCGCACAAGCAGUGGAGUAUGUGGUUUAAUUCGAAGCAACGCGAAGAACCUUACCAGGGCUUGACAUCCCUCGAAUGCUGUGGAAACACAGCAGUCCUACGGGACGGGGAGACAGGUGGUGCAUGGUUGUCGUCAGCUCGUGUCGUGAGAUGUUGGGUUAAGUCCCGCAACGAGCGCAACCCUUGUUGUUAGUUGCCAGCAUGUAAAGAUGGGCACUCUAACGAGACUGCCGGUGACAAAUCGGAGGAAGGUGGGGACGAGGUCAAAUCAUCAUGCCCUUUAUGUCCUGGGCUACACACGUACUACAAUGGCUACAACAGAGGGCAGCGAAGCCGCGAGGCGGAGCGAAUCCCAGAAAAGUAGCCUCAGUUCGGAUUGCGGGCUGCAACUCGCCCGCAUGAAGUCGGAAUUGCUAGUAAUGGCAGGUCAGCAUACUGCCGUGAAUACGUUCCCGGGCCUUGUACACACCGCCCGU
RNAcentral lists this ribosomal RNA (493 nucleotides) under uncultured bacterium. RNAcentral describes it as "bacterial SSU rRNA". It matches the Rfam family "Bacterial small subunit ribosomal RNA", at positions 903 to 1397 of the family's 1533-position model. The record is from RNAcentral.